AGCGCAUCGAUGGCCAGGACAGGCUCCAGCCCAGCGCCGCGCGCCAGCGCUCACAGGGCGCACAAGGCACUGGCUCCCGGACCUUUAGCAAAGGUAAAUCCGCCCGUGGCGCGCGGCAGUUCCUGCAGCGCCCGCCCAGCUGGAACUCGCAGGGCGUGAAGAGCCGCCCCUGCAAAGCACUGGCUUCGCAAAAGGCAAGCGGGGAGCCCUGCGUGGACUACUGGGAUUAGUGGACCCCCGGGGAAAUACCUGCCCAUCAAGGAAGAGUUUGGUUGAUUUCACCACCAAGAUCUGACCCUAGUCACAUGGCCAAGCCUCCUCCCUCUUCAGGGGACUGGUAUUGGUAAAUAACAGCUGGCCUUCUGCAUGAACAUCAGAUUCGAGCCAUGGUCCCCAUUCUGCUUCAUUCUCUCCAGCUCUUGUCCCCUUGCAAAGAAUGGGCUUGUUUACUUGUGCCUAGAACGAGGCCUUCCUCCUACGCAGCACUGUGUUUUAGUCAUCUUUGUACCCGCUGCCAUCUCGUCCGGUUUGCUACAGGCUUGGGAUAAAUGCCUUUUAAAUAUGUACAUGAAUGAAUGACAGAACCGAGAUGUAGUCCCCAGACUCCCUGACCUUUACCAGUGACUCUAAGCCUGUAUAGACCUUUUUUGUUAAGAAGGUUGGGGUGGGGGGAGAAAUGUUGCGUUUUCAUAAUCCCUGCAAUCCAUGCCCUGCUUGCCUCUCUGGGGUUAUUGUGAAGAUCAAAUAAG
Molecule: long non-coding RNA, 749 nt
Filed under: Marmota monax (woodchuck)
Lineage: Eukaryota; Metazoa; Chordata; Mammalia; Rodentia; Sciuridae
Source: RNAcentral